GGGUAGAGCUCAGUGGUAGAGCAUGUGUGCUUGGCAUGCAUGAGGUCCUGGGUUCAACCCCCAGUGCCC
RNAcentral lists this transfer RNA (69 nucleotides) under Camelus bactrianus (Bactrian camel). It matches the Rfam family "tRNA". Rfam says of the family: Transfer RNA (tRNA) molecules are approximately 80 nucleotides in length. RNAcentral also lists the same sequence under 2 other names. The record is from Rfam by way of RNAcentral. Lineage: Eukaryota; Metazoa; Chordata; Mammalia; Artiodactyla; Camelidae.